UGAUGUGGUUUAAUUCGAUGCAACGCGAAAACCUUACCCACCUUUGACAUGGCAGGAAUCCUAAAGAGAUUUGGGAGCGCUCGAAAGAGAACCUGCACACAGGUGCUGCAUGGCUGUCGUCAGCUCGUGUCGUGAGAUGUUGGGUUAAGUCCCGCAACGAGCGCAACCCUUGCCAUUAGUUGCUACGAAAGGGCACUCUAAUGGGACUGCCGGUGACAAACCGGAGGAAGGUGGGGAUGACGUCAAGUCCUCAUGGCCCUUAUAGGUGGGGCUACACACGUCAUACAAUGGCCGGUACAGAGGGUAGCCAACCCGCGAGGGGGAGCCAAUCCCACAAAGCCGGUCGUAGUCCGGAUCGCAGUCUGCAACUCGACUGCGUGAAGUCGGAAUCGCUAGUAAUCGCGGAUCAGCAUGUCACGGUGAAUACGUUCCCGGGUCUU
Molecule: ribosomal RNA, 440 nt
Filed under: uncultured Allobrachymonas sp.
Lineage: Bacteria; Pseudomonadati; Pseudomonadota; Betaproteobacteria; Burkholderiales; Comamonadaceae
Description: bacterial SSU rRNA
Rfam family: Bacterial small subunit ribosomal RNA
Source: RNAcentral